UACGGAGGGGGUUAGCGUUGUUCGGAAUGACUGGGCGUAAAGCGCGCGUAGGCGGAUCAGGAAGUUGGGGGUGAAAUCCCGGGGCUCAACCCCGGAAUGGCCUUCAAAGCUCCUGGUCUUGAGUUCGAGAGAGGUGAGUGGAAUUCCGAGUGUAGAGGUGAAAUUCGUAGAUAUUCGGAGGAACACCAGUGGCGAAGGCGGCUCACUGGCUCGACACUGACGCUGAGGUGCGAAAGCGUGGGGAGCAAACAGG
This 253-nucleotide ribosomal RNA is filed under the name uncultured bacterium. RNAcentral's name for it is "partial 16S ribosomal RNA". It matches the Rfam family "Bacterial small subunit ribosomal RNA", at positions 524 to 776 of the family's 1533-position model. The record is from RNAcentral.